This 355-nucleotide ribosomal RNA is filed under the name uncultured Coriobacteriales bacterium. RNAcentral describes it as "partial 16S ribosomal RNA". The record is from RNAcentral. Lineage: Bacteria; Bacillati; Actinomycetota; Coriobacteriia; Coriobacteriales.
GGAGUUUGGACCGUGUCUCAGUUCCAAUGUGGCCGAUCACCCUCUCAGGUCGGCUACUGAUCGUCGCCUUGGUGGGCCGUUACCUCACCAACCAGCUAAUCAGACGCGAACUCACCCCGAACCGGAUCGCCCCUUUGACCCCUGGACGAUGCCGCCCUGUGGUCUUAUGCGGUAUUAGCACCUGUUUCCAAGUGUUAUCCCCCUGUCCGGGACAGAUUGUUCACGCGUUACUCACCCGUCCGCCGCUAGAAUAUACCGGAAUCCUGCCGAAGCUCUCAUCCAAUAUAUCCCCGCUCGACUUGCAUGUGUUAGGCACGCCGCCAGCGUUCGUCCUCGAGCCACGGAUCAAACUACU